RNAcentral lists this ribosomal RNA (506 nucleotides) under uncultured bacterium. RNAcentral describes it as "partial 16S ribosomal RNA". It matches the Rfam family "Bacterial small subunit ribosomal RNA", at positions 30 to 523 of the family's 1533-position model. The record is from RNAcentral.
AUUGAACGCUGGCGGCAGGCCUAACACAUGCAAGUCGAACGGUAACAGAGAGUAGCUUGCUACUCUGCUGACGAGUGGCGGACGGGUGAGUAAUGUCUGGGGAUCUGCCUGAUGGAGGGGGAUAACUACUGGAAACGGUAGCUAAUACCGCAUAAUGUCGCAAGACCAAAGCGGGGGACUUUCGGGCCUCGCACCAUCGGAUGAACCCAGAUGGGAUUAGCUAGUAGGUAGGGUAAUGGCUUACCUAGGCGACGAUCCCUAGCUGGUCUGAGAGGAUGACCAGCCACACUGGAACUGAGACACGGUCCAGACUCCUACGGGAGGCAGCAGUGGGGAAUAUUGCACAAUGGGCGCAAGCCUGAUGCAGCCAUGCCGCGUGUAUGAAGAAGGCCUUCGGGUUGUAAAGUACUUUCAGUCAGGAGGAAGGGUGUGAAAUUAAUACUUUCAUGCAUUGACGUUACUGACAGAAGAAGCACCGGCUAACUCCGUGCCAGCAGCCGCUGUAA